AGUGAACGCUGGCGGUAGGCCUAACACAUGCAAGUCGAACGGCAGCACAGGAGAGCUUGCUCUCUGGGUGGCGAGUGGCGGACGGGUGAGGAAUACAUCGGAAUCUACUCUGUCGUGGGGGAUAACGUAGGGAAACUUACGCUAAUACCGCAUACGACCUACGGGUGAAAGCAGGGGAUCUUCGGACCUUGCGCGAUUGAAUGAGCCGAUGUCGGAUUAGCUAGUUGGCGGGGUAAAGGCCCACCAAGGCGACGAUCCGUAGCAGGUCUGAGAGGAUGAUCAGCCUCACUGGAACUGAGACACGGUCCAGAGUCCUACGGGAGGCAGCAGUGGGGAAUAUUGGACAAUGGGCGCAAGCCUGAUCCAGCCAUACCGCGUGGGUGAAGAAGGCCUUCGGGUUGUAAAGCCCUUUUGUUGGGAAAGAAAUCCAGCUGGCUAAUACCCGGUUGGGAUGACGGUACCCAAAGAAUAAGCACCGGCUAACUUCGUGCCAGCAGCCGCCGCGG
RNAcentral lists this ribosomal RNA (506 nucleotides) under uncultured bacterium. Its description in RNAcentral is "partial 16S ribosomal RNA". It matches the Rfam family "Bacterial small subunit ribosomal RNA", at positions 29 to 523 of the family's 1533-position model. The record is from RNAcentral.